GGAUGUGAGAGCGAUCUGGCUGCGACAUCUGUCACCCCACUGAUCGCCAAGGUUGAUUCGGCUGAUCUGGCUGGCUAGGCAGAUGGACCCCUCCCUCCCUCACCGCUCCAUGUGCGUCCCUCCUGAAGCUGUGCACUCGGUCGGUCGAAGAGGACAGCCUUCCCGGAAUAGAGACGGACCGGUCUUCAGUCGAGGGUAUACGAGUAGCUGCGCUCCCCGCUAGAACCUCCAAACAAGCUCUCAAAUGAGCUAUUUUGCUGUCCCCACUGAUGAUGUCUUUUUUUUUUUUAAUUGAGACAGAAAUCGAGAGGGAAAUGGGAAAUAGAGAGUGGGGUCUGGUGGUGGCAUACCUUACU
Molecule: small nuclear RNA, 356 nt
Filed under: Erinaceus europaeus (western European hedgehog)
Lineage: Eukaryota; Metazoa; Chordata; Mammalia; Eulipotyphla; Erinaceidae
Description: 7SK RNA (ENSEEUG00000021513.1)
Rfam family: 7SK RNA
About the family: 7SK was discovered as an abundant small nuclear RNA in the mid-70s but a possible function has only recently been suggested. Two independent studies have found that 7SK RNA binds the CDK9/cyclin T complex (known as elongation factor P-TEFb).
Source: RNAcentral